RNAcentral lists this long non-coding RNA (1813 nucleotides) under Triticum aestivum (bread wheat). RNAcentral's name for it is "long non-coding RNA (TAES_LNC003208)". The record is from RNAcentral. Lineage: Eukaryota; Viridiplantae; Streptophyta; Magnoliopsida; Poales; Poaceae.
CUUGAAGAGUGGUCUAUUUUUAUUAAAUCUUGAUAGUAGUGAUACACAUUUUCAUAAUGUUGAAGCCAAAAGAUGCAGAGUUGAUAAUGAUAGUGCAACUUAUUAGUGGCACUACCGUUUGGGUCAUAUUGUGUCACGCCCAAUAUGCGACCCUAUCCAAAAGGAACUCGAAGGUCCCACCAAGGAUAGACCCACAUAUUGAAACGCUUUUGCAAGGUGGAUAUCAUUACAUCAACAUUACAUAAUAGAUGGGGAUACAUACAUAAGGCAUACAAUGCCACACGAAUACAACAAUACAAUACAUGAGAGCAUCAUCCAUCUACGGAUGAAUCACAAAUAGAAACUCCAAUGACAUCCACCCUGCUAGCCCAGGCUGCCGACCUGGAACCUAUCCCCUGAUCGAAGAAGCAGAAGAAGAACUCAACACAAGCAAGCAUCGCUCUCGCGUCAUGAUCAUCGCAUAACCUGUACCUGCAACUGUUGUUGUAGUAAUCUGUGAGCCACGAGGACUCAGCAAUCCCAUUACCAUGGGUAUCAAGACUAGCAAAGCUUAAAGGGAAAGGAAGGGGUAAAGUGGUGAGGCUGCAGCAGCGACUAAGCAUGAUAUGGUGGCUAACAUACGCAAAUAAGAGCGAGAAGAGAGCAAGCAGAACGGUCGUCAACUAGUAAUGAUCAAGAAGUGAUCCUGAACUCCUACUUACGUCAAACAUAACCCAGAAACCGUGUUCACUUCCCGGACUCCGCCGAGAAGAGACCAUCAUGGCUACACACGCGGUUGAUGCGUUUUAAUUCGGAUCUGGUGUCAAGUUAUCUACAACCGGACAUUAACAAAUUCCCAUCUGCCUAUAACCGCAGGCACGGCUUUCGAAAGAUUAUACCCUGCAGGGGUGUCCCAACUUAGCCCAUGACAAGCUCUCGCGAUCAACGAAGGAAUAGACCUUCUCCCAGGAAGACCCGAUCAGACUCGGAAUCCCAGUUUACAAGACAUUUUGACAAUGGUAAAACAAGACCAGCAAAGCCGCCCGAAUGUGCCGACAAAUCCUGAUAGGAGCUGCACAUAUCUCGUUCUCAGGGCACAACGGAUUGUCCAAACUUCCGGUAGGCCAGCCCAGAGUUGCCCCUGGUGGCCACCGGCGGCUGACAGGUUGGACCAACACUCAUGACGAGCACUGGCUCGGGGGGUAAAUAAAGAUGACCCUCGGGCUCCGGAAACCCAAGGGAAAAAAGGGCUAGGUGAGGCAAAUGGUAAAACCAAGGUUGGGCCUUGCUGGAGGAGUUUUAUUCAAAGCAAACUGUCAAGGGGGUCCCAUAAAUCACCCGACCGCGUAAGGAACGCAAAAUCCGGGAACAUAACACCGGUAUGACGGAAACUAGGGCGGCAAGAGUGGAACAAAACACCAAGCAAAAGGCCAAGUCUUCCACCCUUUACCAAGUAUAUAGAUGCAUUAAAAUAUAAGAGAUAUUGUGAUAUCCCAACCAAAAUCCUGUCCACCAUGGAGCAAUCUUCAACUUCACCUGCAACUAGCAACGCUAUAAGAGGGCUGAGCAAAGCGGUAACAUAGCCAAGCAAUGGUUUGCAUAGGAAAGGUGUCAAAGGUUAGAGGCUGACAUGGCAAUUUGGGAUGGCUUGAUAAACAGAUGAUAGGUAGUGCAGCAAAGCGAUAGAACGAAGCAACUAGCAUAGCAAUGAUAGUAGUGAGAUCCAGGGUAGCGGUCAUCUUGCCUGAGAUCCCGCAAGGAAGAAGAACAAGUCCAUGAAGAAGACGAACGGGAGCAGUCGAACGAAUCCUCACGAACGCAACAUUACCGGAAC